ACAGCCCUGCCGUGUACGUGAUGCCGCAGUGACCGGUUUUGCCCCAACACCUUUCUUUAAGGGGCCAAUCUCGUGGGCGGCGACGCGAUAGGCUUCGGCCAAGGCGGAACCGUCCGGGGCGGCCCCCACCUGCGUAUGCAGGAGCAAAACUGGGCAGCACACGGCACGGUGGGGUGUU
RNAcentral lists this non-coding RNA (178 nucleotides) under Chloroflexota bacterium. Its description in RNAcentral is "Chloroflexi bacterium (hydrothermal vent metagenome) 6S RNA". It matches the Rfam family "6S / SsrS RNA". From Rfam's summary of the family: E. coli 6S RNA was the first non coding RNA to be sequenced, but its function was unknown until recently. It consists of 184 nucleotides that fold into an extended hairpin structure with a large single-stranded internal bulge. Lineage: Bacteria; Bacillati; Chloroflexota. The record is from RNAcentral.